CAACUUGAGAGUUUGAUCCUGGCUCAGAGCGAACGCUGGCGGCAGGCUUAACACAUGCAAGUCGAGCGGGCGUAGCAAUACGUCAGCGGCAGACGGGUGAGUAACGCGUGGGAACGUACCUUUUGGUUCGGAACAACCCAGGGAAACUUGGGCUAAUACCGGAUAAGCCCUUACGGGGAAAGAUUUAUCGCCGAAAGAUCGGCCCGCGUCUGAUUAGCUAGUUGGUGAGGUAACGGCUCACCAAGGCGACGAUCAGUAGCUGGUCUGAGAGGAUGAUCAGCCACAUUGGGACUGAGACACGGCCCAAACUCCUACGGGAGGCAGCAGUGGGGAAUAUUGGACAAUGGGCGCAAGCCUGAUCCAGCCAUGCCGCGUGAGUGAUGAAGG
RNAcentral lists this ribosomal RNA (387 nucleotides) under Bradyrhizobium sp. RNAcentral's name for it is "bacterial SSU rRNA". It matches the Rfam family "Bacterial small subunit ribosomal RNA", at positions 1 to 414 of the family's 1533-position model. The record is from RNAcentral. Lineage: Bacteria; Pseudomonadati; Pseudomonadota; Alphaproteobacteria; Hyphomicrobiales; Nitrobacteraceae.